Molecule: ribosomal RNA, 537 nt
Filed under: Triticum aestivum (bread wheat)
Lineage: Eukaryota; Viridiplantae; Streptophyta; Magnoliopsida; Poales; Poaceae
Description: partial small subunit ribosomal RNA
Source: RNAcentral
CUGGACCUUGCAGCGAGUAGCAUGCCCGGAGAUUUUAGCCAGUGGAUAAUGAAGCAUUACGACCCGGAGAUUUCGCAGAUAGUCAUUUCAGAAAGGGGGAAGAUUCCUGUAGAUGCCGCUAGUGUCCGCAGGAUAUGGGGUUUGCCCAACAGGGGCAGGAAGGUGUGCUUCAAGAAUCGGCCUGAAAUCACAAAGGCAAUGUACAGUAUUUACAACAUCACAUCGAAGAACUUCCCAACCCUCACAGAAUGGUGCAAGAUGAUCGUAGACAUGGGAGGAUCUCAUGAUGAUGACUUUGUCCGCGCUUGGCUAGCUCUUGUUUUUUCGUGCUUCCUUGCCCCUUCAACUAGUUUGAGCAUUUCCCCAAAGAGUUUCCCGGCGGUCAUGGAUGUCAAUGGAAUAACGGAAACCAAUAUAUGUCAGUUUGUUGUUGAUCAAUUAAAGCUUGUGUUCACUUCGGGGUGUGCUAACAAGAAGGUUGUUUGUUGUUGUGUUUUCCACCUUGUUGUAAGUGCUUCAAGCUGUUUUGUUUUUUAA